GGGCGUAAGCGCGCGUAGGCGGCUUUUUAGUCAGAGGUGAAAGCCCGGGGCUCAACCCCGGAAUUGCCUUUGAAACUGGAAAGCUAGAAUCUUGGAAAGGUCAGGGGAAUUCCGAGUGUAGAGGUGAAAUUCGUAAAUAUUCGGAAAAACACCAGUGGCGAAGGCGACUGACUGGACAAGUAUUGACGCUGAGGUGCGAAAGCGUGGGGAGCAAACAGGAUUAAAUACCCUGGUAGUCCACGCCGUAAACGAUGAUAACUAGCUGUCCGGGGGCAUGGAACUUGGGUGGCGCAGCUAACGCAUUAAGUUAUCCGCCUGGGGAGUACGGUCGCAAGAUUAAAACUCAAAGGAAUUGACGGGGGCCUGCACAAGCGGUGGAGCAUGUGGUUU
Molecule: ribosomal RNA, 390 nt
Filed under: uncultured Sphingomonas sp.
Lineage: Bacteria; Pseudomonadati; Pseudomonadota; Alphaproteobacteria; Sphingomonadales; Sphingomonadaceae
Description: bacterial SSU rRNA
Rfam family: Bacterial small subunit ribosomal RNA
Source: RNAcentral